GGAACGAACGCUGGCGGCAGGCCUAACACAUGCAAGUCGAGCGCCCCGCAAGGGGAGCGGCAGACGGGUGAGUAACGCGUGGGAAUCUACCCAUCUCUACGGAAUAACGCAUGGAAACGUGUGCUAAUACCGUAUACGUCCUUCGGGAGAAAGAUUUAUCGGAGAUGGAUGAGCCCGCGUUGGAUUAGCUAGUUGGUGGGGUAAAGGCCUACCAAGGCGACGAUCCAUAGCUGGUCUGAGAGGAUGAUCAGCCACACUGGGACUGAGACACGGCCCAGACUCCUACGGGAGGCAGCAGUGGGGAAUAUUGGACAAUGGGCGCAAGCCUGAUCCAGCCAUGCCGCGUGAGUGAUGAAGGCCCUAGGUUGUAAAGCUCUUCACCGGUGAAGAUAAUGACGUAACGGAGAAGAAGCCCGAUACU
RNAcentral lists this ribosomal RNA (421 nucleotides) under uncultured soil bacterium. Its description in RNAcentral is "bacterial SSU rRNA". It matches the Rfam family "Bacterial small subunit ribosomal RNA", at positions 27 to 502 of the family's 1533-position model. The record is from RNAcentral.